Molecule: ribosomal RNA, 202 nt
Filed under: uncultured bacterium
Lineage: Bacteria
Description: partial 16S ribosomal RNA
Rfam family: Bacterial small subunit ribosomal RNA
Source: RNAcentral
UACGUAGGGUGCGAGCGUUAAUCGGAAUUACUGGGCGUAAAGCGUGCGCAGGCGGUUUUGUAAGCCAGGUGUGAAAUCCCCGGGCUCACCUGGGAAUGGCAUUUGGGACUGCAAGGCUGGAGUGCGGCAGAGGAGACUGGAAUUCCUGGUGGUAGCAGUGAAAUGCGUAGAUAUCAAGGAGGAACACCGAUGGCGGAAGGCA